Molecule: long non-coding RNA, 1657 nt
Organism: Lathyrus oleraceus (garden pea)
Lineage: Eukaryota; Viridiplantae; Streptophyta; Magnoliopsida; Fabales; Fabaceae
Exons: 3
Source: RefSeq, a predicted model, not a curated record
UAAUGUGAAAACGCUUCUUCCUAAGCUGCGAUUAAGGGCCACCAUAAUAGAAACACCGGAGAAUCGCGUUUCAAAACCAAUCAAGUCGCGACGUCUUCCACGAAGAACACGACGGAUUCGUAUUCUCAACCAUGAAUAAGUAUGUGCCGUCUCCAAAAUCGCUUCCCUGCUUCUUCCUUUGCACAUUGAAAAUUCCGUAAUCGGUGCGCGAAUCGCAUGAACACUAUAAUCGGUGUGCGAAUCAUGGAAUAAUUGAGGUAUGAUAUGAAAGAAGCAUUGCCUUCAGUGCGUUCUCGCCUUGUGAUGCAUUCGGUUUGAAGAAGAUGAUCUCAGAAACAAAAAUAAAAAAUUACGAGGAAGGAGAUUGAAGGCGACGAAUCGGAAACUUGAGGAAGAAAAUUGAAGGUUCAACCCUCAGCAAGAAAUCCUUCAAGAACUCAAAUUUAUAGCUCGAAUGGACUCCGUGUUAAUCAGCACACGAACAACACAACCAAUUGUGAGUUUGAACUUCAGGCUCCAAUUCAAUGAGCCAAGAACAAUCUCCAAAUUAUGUUCAAUCUCUCAUCAAAUCCGAACCAAAUCGGCGCCCUUCUCGUGCGUAAAAACUGGAAAACACGAAAGAAGAAAGCAUUUAUCGGACCAAUGGAGUCUCUAGGUAAUCAACAGAAGAUGAUCGAAGGUUGGUAUGAAGAAGAAGAAGAAGCCCUCAAGGCGAAUUGAAUAAAAAGCGUUCGAAGUGAAUUUGAAGAAGAAGCACUCAUGGUGCCUUUGAAGAAGAAGCACUCAAAUUGCAUUUGAAGAAGCCCUCAAAGUGCAUUUUAGGAUGGAGUAGUUUAUGGAGGCCAUAGAAGAAAUCUGCAGGGUUCAUGUGCUUUACGAUGGACUGUGGUGAAUAUACUUCAAAACUCGUUUUUCUACUGAACAUGACCAGUUGCAGGGGAGUAUCGAAUCUACUAGUUAAAAAGAGUAUAUUGUCUAUUUCGGUAACACCAAAUCCACUAUGAAACAUGUCCUUCUGUUGCCAAGUAGAUAUAAUGAGAUGAAUUGCUUAAUUUACUCCAUGGUUUCCUAGGACUUAUUGGUUUGAUUGUUAGGUGCUUGUUGGCAGGUUGUUGUUUUAAUGAAGGUAAUAUUUCGGCCUUACCGUCAGGAUGCAUCAAAUGAAUGACUUUGGUGGUUUUGGGAUUUAUGUUAUGAUUUGGUUGUAAAGUGAAGUUGCCCUGUUAUGGUUAAAUGCAACAAAAUAUUAUGGUUAGCAUGUGUUAAUGAUAGCAGUCAAGGGAAUUAGUUGAAAAAACUUGUUUUGGUUAGGAGUUAGCUUUAAUGGUUUCAAAGAGUGUUAAUAUAUUGUUGUUUAUUCUGUUAGUGCAGAUUGAUGGUUACGUCGCAGGCUGGUGUAGCAGGGCAAAUGAUAGCAAGGUCGUUGAUAGCAUGGCAACAAGAAAGAUGCUUGGAGUUUUGGAUGUUUUAAAGUCGUGGAGCAUUGGCGUAUGCUAAGGACAAGUUUCAAGUGGUUUUUUAUUGUUGUACUUAGAAUUCAAAGUGUUUUGUACUAGGAUUGUAAAGUGAAUGUUAGAAAUGAAUGUAUGAAUUUGUGUUAAUGUAUGGAAAUGACAAUGUAAUGGAUAUAUUUAGAAAUUGACUAGUUGUAAUGACA